GAUUAGCGGCGGACGGGUGAGUAAUGCCUAGGAAUCUGCCUGGUAGUGGGGGACAACGUUUCGAAAGGAACGCUAAUACCGCAUACGUCCUACGGGAGAAAGCAGGGGACCUUCGGGCCUUGCGCUAUCAGAUGAGCCUAGGUCGGAUUAGCUAGUUGGUGAGGUAAUGGCUCACCAAGGCGACGAUCCGUAACUGGUCUGAGAGGAUGAUCAGUCACACUGGAACUGAGACACGGUCCAGACUCCUACGGGAGGCAGCAGUGGGGAAUAUUGGACAAUGGGCGAAAGCCUGAUCCAGCCAUGCCGCGUGUGUGAAGAAGGUCUUCGGAUUGUAAAGCACUUUAAGUUGGGAGGAAGGGUUGUAGAUUAAUACUCUGCAAUUUUGACGUUACCGACAGAAUAAGCACCGGCUAACUCUGUGCCAGCAGCCGCGGUAAUACAGAGGGUGCAAGCGUUAAUCGGAAUUACUGGGCGUAAAGCGCGCGUAGGUGGUUUG
RNAcentral lists this ribosomal RNA (496 nucleotides) under Pseudomonas sp. EECC-133. RNAcentral describes it as "bacterial SSU rRNA". It matches the Rfam family "Bacterial small subunit ribosomal RNA", at positions 90 to 582 of the family's 1533-position model. The record is from RNAcentral. Lineage: Bacteria; Pseudomonadati; Pseudomonadota; Gammaproteobacteria; Pseudomonadales; Pseudomonadaceae.